This 492-nucleotide ribosomal RNA is filed under the name uncultured bacterium. RNAcentral describes it as "partial 16S ribosomal RNA". It matches the Rfam family "Bacterial small subunit ribosomal RNA", at positions 29 to 507 of the family's 1533-position model. The record is from RNAcentral.
AGUGAACGCUGGCGGUGGGUCUAACACAUGCAAGUCGAACGGCAGCACAGUAAGAGCUUGCUCUUACGGGUGGCGAGUGGCGGACGGGUGAGGAAUACAUCGGAAUCUACUUUUUCGUGGGGGAUAACGUAGGGAAACUUACGCUAAUACCGCAUACGACCUACGGGUGAAAGCAGGGGAUCUUCGGACCUUGCGCGAUUGAAUGAGCCGAUGUCGGAUUAGCUAGUUGGCGGGGUAAAGGCCCACCAAGGCGACGAUCCGUAGCUGGUCUGAGAGGAUGAUCAGCCACACUGGAACUGAGACACGGUCCAGACUCCUACGGGAGGCAGCAGUGGGGAAUAUUGGACAAUGGGCGCAAGCCUGAUCCAGCCAUACCGCGUGGGUGAAGAAGGCCUUCGGGUUGUAAAGCCCUUUUGUUGGGAAAGAAAAGCAGCAGGUUAAUACCCCGCUGUUCUGACGGUACCCAAAGAAUAAGCACCGGCUAACUUCGUG